CCUACGGGAGGCAGCAGUGGGGAAUAUUGGGCAAUGGGCGCAAGCCUGACCCAGCAACGCCGCGUGAAGGAAGAAGGCUUUCGGGUUGUAAACUUCUUUUAAGAGGGAAGAGCAGAAGACGGUACCUCUUGAAUAAGCCACGGCUAACUACGUGCCAGCAGCCGCGGUAAUACGUAGGUGGCAAGCGUUGUCCGGAUUUACUGGGGGUAAAGGGCGUGCAGCCGGGAAGACAAGUCAGAUGUGAAAUCCCGCGGCUCAACCGCGGAACUGCAUUUGAAACUGUUUUUCUUGAGUACCGGAGAGGUCAUCGGAAUUCCUGGUGUAGCGGUGAAAUGCGUAGAUAUAAGGAAGAACACCAGUGGCGAAGGCGGAUGACUGGACGGCAACUGACGGUGAGGCGCGAAAGCGUGGGGAGCAAACAGGAUUAGAUACCCCGGUAGUC
RNAcentral lists this ribosomal RNA (442 nucleotides) under uncultured bacterium. RNAcentral describes it as "partial 16S ribosomal RNA". It matches the Rfam family "Bacterial small subunit ribosomal RNA", at positions 338 to 795 of the family's 1533-position model. The record is from RNAcentral.